This 66-nucleotide small RNA is filed under the name Arabidopsis thaliana (thale cress). Its description in RNAcentral is "ATSL258050". Lineage: Eukaryota; Viridiplantae; Streptophyta; Magnoliopsida; Brassicales; Brassicaceae. The record is from RNAcentral.
AUUUCAGAUCGAAGGCGGCAGAGGUCGUGGACUUAACGUUUGGGAUGGCUUCACUCACCGAUACCC